UGAACGCUAGCGACAGGCCUAACACAUGCAAGUCGAGGGGCAGCACAAGGAGCAAUCUGAGGUGGCGACCGGCGCACGGGUGAGUAACACGUAUGCAACCUGCCUGUAAGCGGGGAAUAACCCGUUGAAAGACGGACUAAUACCGCAUAAUACUAAAUUACUGCAUGGUAAUUUAUUUAAACAUUUAUGGCUUACAGAUGGGCAUGCGCAUGAUUAGCUAGUUGAAGAGGUAACGGCUCCCCAAGGCAACGAUCAUUAGGGGUUCUGAGAGGAAGGUCCCCCACACUGGUACUGAGACACGGACCAGACUCCUACGGGAGGCAGCAGUGAGGAAUAUUGGUCAAUGGACGAGAGUCUGAACCAGCCAAGUCGCGUGCAGGAAGAAUGUUCCCUAUGGAUUGUAAACUGCUUUUGCAGGGGAAUAAAGUGCAUCACGUGUGAUGUUUUGUAUGUACUCUGCGAAUAAGGAUCGGCUAACUCCGUGCCAGCCGCGGC
RNAcentral lists this ribosomal RNA (495 nucleotides) under uncultured bacterium. Its description in RNAcentral is "bacterial SSU rRNA". It matches the Rfam family "Bacterial small subunit ribosomal RNA", at positions 30 to 518 of the family's 1533-position model. The record is from RNAcentral.